AUUUAACGCUGGCGGCAGGCCUAACACAUGCAAGUCGAACGGAUGAAGGGAGCUUGCUACUGGAUUCAGCGGCGGACGGGAGAGUAAUGCCUAGGAAUCUCCCUGGGAGUGGGUGAAACGGACCGAAACCGGCGGUCAUAACCCACACGGCCCUCGGGAAAAAGGGGGGGAUCCUUGGGGCCCUCGCAUUCCGAGGAGGCCAGGGCGGGUUAGCCAGUUGGGGGGGUAAAGGGCUAACAAGGCGACGAGCCGGAACAGGUCUGAGAGGAGGAUCAGCCACACUGGAACUGAGACACGGUCCAGACUCCGACGGGAGGCAGCCGUGGGGAAUAUUGGACGAUGGGCGAAAGCCUGAUCCAGCCAUGCCGCGUGUGUGAAGAAGGUCUUCGGAUUGUAAAGCACUUUAAGUUGGGAGGAAGGGCAGUAAGUUAAUACCUUGCUGUUUUGACGGUACCAACAGAAUAAGCACCGGCUAACUUCGUG
Molecule: ribosomal RNA, 483 nt
Filed under: uncultured bacterium
Lineage: Bacteria
Description: partial 16S ribosomal RNA
Rfam family: Bacterial small subunit ribosomal RNA
Source: RNAcentral